This 253-nucleotide ribosomal RNA is filed under the name uncultured bacterium. Its description in RNAcentral is "partial 16S ribosomal RNA". It matches the Rfam family "Bacterial small subunit ribosomal RNA", at positions 524 to 776 of the family's 1533-position model. The record is from RNAcentral.
UACAGAGGUCUCAAGCGUUGUUCGGAUUCAUUGGGCGUAAAGGGUGUGUAGGUGGCGCCGUAAGUCGGGUGUGAAAUUUCGGAGCUUAACUCCGAAACUGCAUUCGAUACUGCGGUGCUUGAGGACUGGAGAGGAGACUGGAAUUCAUGGUGUAGCAGUGAAAUGCGUAGAGAUCAUGAGGAAGACCAAUGGCGAAAGCAGCUCUCUGGGACGGUACUGACGCUGAGACGCGAAAGCGUGGGGAGCGAACAGG